CUCUUUGGUGAUCUAGCUGUAUGAGUGCGAGUGGACGUCAUAAAGCUAAAUUACCGAAGUC
This 61-nucleotide microRNA precursor is filed under the name Zootermopsis nevadensis. RNAcentral describes it as "mir-9/mir-79 microRNA precursor family". It matches the Rfam family "mir-9/mir-79 microRNA precursor family", at positions 1 to 62 of the family's 78-position model. Rfam says of the family: The mature ~21nt miRNAs are processed from hairpin precursor sequences represented here. miR-9 is processed from the 5' arm of its precursor, and miR-79 from the 3' arm. The record is from RNAcentral. Lineage: Eukaryota; Metazoa; Arthropoda; Insecta; Blattodea; Termopsidae.